RNAcentral lists this ribosomal RNA (230 nucleotides) under uncultured bacterium. Its description in RNAcentral is "partial 16S ribosomal RNA". It matches the Rfam family "Bacterial small subunit ribosomal RNA", at positions 99 to 334 of the family's 1533-position model. The record is from RNAcentral.
CGGACGGGUGAGUAAUGUCUGGGAAACUGCCUGAUGGAGGGGGAUAACUACUGGAAACGGUAGCUAAUACCGCAUAACGUCGCAAGACCAAAGAGGGGACCUUAGGGCCUCUUGCCAUCGGAUGUGCCCAGAUGGGAUUAGCUAGUAGGUGGGUAACGGCUCACCUAGGCGACGAUCCCUAGCUGGUCUGAGAGGAUGACCAGCCACACUGGAACUGAGACACGGUCCAG